This is a non-coding RNA of Salvia hispanica, 440 nucleotides long. NCBI's taxonomy places the organism in Eukaryota, Viridiplantae, Streptophyta, Magnoliopsida, Lamiales, Lamiaceae. The record is from RefSeq and is a predicted model, not a curated record.
GCAUAUCGCGAUUGUCUUCUUUUUGAAGCUAUUUUGCUUGUCUUUGUUUAAUAAUGUUUUGUAGAAAAAGAAGAGAUUUGAGGAACUAUAUGGUGUUGUGAGGCCUGAUGUUAUACAUGUUCAUCCACAAAAUGUGGUGAAGUGUAAAGGAUCUGGAUCCAGGUUGCCUUCUAAGAUAGAGGCGGCGAAGAAGGCAGCAGCUAAACCUCCUAGACGAUGUGGAAAAUGCCAUAAAAUGGUUAAUCAUGAUUCAAGGAACUGCGGCAAAGAGAAGAUUAAAAAACAGAAAUAAAUUAGUUGUUCAUAUCACUAUUGUUUAUGUUUAUUGGCAUACAUAAUUCCUUGUUUUGGAUAUUCCAUCGCAUUCUUGUUUCCAUGCUGGUAUGGAAGAAAAAUAAUCUCCUCUUAUGUUUAUGAAUGUUAUCUCAUUUUAUUUUCCA